Molecule: ribosomal RNA, 490 nt
Filed under: uncultured bacterium
Lineage: Bacteria
Description: partial 16S ribosomal RNA
Rfam family: Bacterial small subunit ribosomal RNA
Source: RNAcentral
AUUGAACGCUGGCGGCAGGCCUAACACAUGCAAGUCGAACGGUAACAGGAAGAAGCUUGCUUCUUUGCUGACGAGUGGCGGACGGGUGAGUAAUGUCUGGGAAACUGCCUGAUGGAGGGGGAUAACUACUGGAAACGGUAGCUAAUACCGCAUAACGUCGCAAGACCAAAGAGGGGGACUUUCGGGCCUCUUGCCAUCGGAUGUGCCCAGAUGGGAUUAGCUAGUAGGUGGGGUAACGGCUCACCUAGGCGACGAUCCCUAGCUGGUCUGAGAGGAUGACCAGCCACACUGGAACUGAGACACGGUCCAGACUCCUACGGGAGGCAGCAGUGGGGAAUAUUGCACAAUGGGCGCAAGCCUGAUGCAGCCAUGCCGCGUGUAUGAAGAAGGCCUUCGGGUUGUAAAGUACUUUCAGCGGGGAGGAAGGAAGUAAAGUUAAUACCUUGGCUCAUUGACGUUACCCGCAGAAGAAGCACCGGCUAACUCCGUG